RNAcentral lists this long non-coding RNA (240 nucleotides) under Zostera marina. RNAcentral describes it as "long non-coding RNA (ZMAR_LNC003318)". Lineage: Eukaryota; Viridiplantae; Streptophyta; Magnoliopsida; Alismatales; Zosteraceae. The record is from RNAcentral.
AUGCCUUAAUGGCGAAGGUCCGCUCAAGUAACGGCUGGGAGUCGGCGAUUCAGGUAUGGGAAUCGCCGAUCCAGAGGUUCAGUCGCCGACUCCCCAUGAGCCUAGUGGCAGCCUACCAGAGCUGUCCACGAGGCCUAGAGUUGGCGAUUCCCCCCUGGAGUCGGCGACUUGGUAGUCCCAAUCGGCGACUCCCAAGUGUUAACUUGAGCUCUUGACGUAGACACGUGCUCCGCACCGUGG